This 986-nucleotide long non-coding RNA is filed under the name Homo sapiens (human). Its description in RNAcentral is "HSALNT0090021". The record is from RNAcentral. Lineage: Eukaryota; Metazoa; Chordata; Mammalia; Primates; Hominidae.
CGACCACCAGCAGGGGCCGGAGGCGCCACUGCUGCAGCAGCGCCGAGGCCGAGACUCAGACCUGCUACACCAGCGUGAAGGAGGCUGUGGUGACCAAUCGGAGGGCUGUAGGUAACUUUGUGAACCCAGCACCAAAUGACACAAGACCAACCAACCAGUUCUUCCUUGCACCCUGAUCAGACAGAGUCUGGGCAGGAAACAGACUGCACAUCCAAAAGGGUUAACUCAGAAUAAUCAAAUGAAGGGACUACUGCAAAUGUUUUGGCAGGAUGAAGGAAAGACAACAAAUGAUGCUGAAGCACCCUAGGCUAGAAAAAGAGGGAGCUGUUACUACCCCAGAAGAGUCAAGGGGAGGGGAUGUGUAUUAGUCUGUUUCACGCUGCUGAUAAAGACAUACCAGAGACUGGUUAAUUUAGAAAGAAAAAGAGAUUUAAUGGACUCACAUUUCCAUGUGGCUGGGGAGGCCUCACAAUCAUGGCCAAAGGCGAAAGGCAUGUCUUACAUGGUGGCAGACGAGAGAAUGAGAACCAAGCAAAAGAGGUUACCCUUAUAAAACCAUCAGAUCUCGUGAGACUUAUUCACUAUCAUGAGAACAGUAAGGGGGGAACUGCCCCAUGAUUCAAUUACCUCUCACCAGGUCCCUCCCACAACACAUGGGAAUUAUGGAAGCUACAAUUCAAGAUGAGAUUUGGGUAGGGACACAGCCAAACCAUAUCAGGGUGGUUAUGGGAAGCUGAGAAACCAGGGUAGUUAUGGGAAUCUGAGAAACCAAACCUGUAAGUCAGGGAAACCCUCAGAAGCUGUAGCCUUCAGGAGUGGACAGGGAGGGAGCCAAAGCAGUAAGUCCCUUCAUGACAUUGUCCUCCCUUUCAUCAAGCUCCUGCUGGUUUCCACAUCUGGAAACCAGAGGGAAAAGGAAUCUGUUGAUUGGGGUUUUCCAGGGUGCUGAGCAGGGUGGAGAGUGGGUCUGGAGGGGCAAAUGAAAA